This 486-nucleotide ribosomal RNA is filed under the name uncultured bacterium. RNAcentral's name for it is "partial 16S ribosomal RNA". It matches the Rfam family "Bacterial small subunit ribosomal RNA", at positions 28 to 507 of the family's 1533-position model. The record is from RNAcentral.
AUUGAACGCUGGCGGCAUGCCUUACACAUGCAAGUCGAACGGCAGGACGGGUGCUUGCUCCUGUUGGCGAGUGGCGAACGGGUGAGUAAUACAUCGGUACACUUCCUGUGGUGGGGGAUAGACCGGAGAAAGCCGGAUUAAUAACGCAAAAGAUCUACGGGUGACAGGGGGGGGGCUGGGGGGUUUGGGCUGUUGGGUUGGCAGAUGGCGUAUUGGAUCGUUGGGGGGGUAAACGCCUAUCCAGGGGGUGUGCCGUAGCUGGGGUGAGAGGACGACCAGCCACACUAGGACUGGGACACGGCCCAGACUCCUACGGGAGGCAGCAGUGGGGAAUGUGGGACAGUGGGCGAAAGCCUGAUCCAGCAAGGCCGCGUGUGUGAAGAAGGCCUUCGGGUUGUAAAGCACUUUUGUCCGGAAAGAAAUCCUUGGCCCUAAUACGGUCGGGGGAUGACGGUACCGGAAGAAUAAGCACCGGCUAACUACGUG